AGGGUUAGGGCUGGCGGUUUUGCAGCUCACCUGGGGAGGCCAGCAGCACCUUCGCCCCGCAGCAUUGAAAGCAGUGCAGCAGAGACUUGGCACGGAUGUUGUAGUUGAGGCACGACAAGGGACAGCCCAGUUUGAGCAGUCCCAGCCAGAUCCACACAUAGGCCGGCUCAUUGCCCAUGAAGAGGGCCACGCAAUCCCCCUGUCGCAGGCCCAGUUGAUCGUGCAGCGUCCGCGCCACUUGGUUGCUGCGCCUGUCCACCUGGGCGUAGGUGAGUGUCUCGUCUCGGAACAGCAGGAAGGGCUUGUGCGGGGUCUUGCGCGCUUGCUCCAGGAAGACCUGCAGGAUGGUACGCACGGGUCGCCGCUGCCGGUAGCUGCGCACCCGCCGGGCCAUGUUGGCCAGCAGCAGGAAGUACCGCACGUCCUGGAGGAGGUAGGGGCAGCAGCAGAUAAGUGUAGCUACCACUUUUUAUCAAAGAAGCGCCUCUUUACAGCGAAUGGAAACCAUUACAGAACACCAUAACUGGACAUAAGACAGAGAUCAGUGGUUGGUGGGGGCCAAAAGGAUACAUCUGCAGCAUGGCACCUGCAUCUUUGGCUCAGGGGACUUAGCAGAGGAGAUCUGAAAGAUUGAAAGAGCUGGAAAAUCAGGGAGUCUGCUGCAAGACUGUCUUUUCAAAAUGCUGAAAAUAAAACUAAUAUGUGACUCGGCGGUUCCACCCCCAUGAACAUACCCAAAGAACUCCACAUCCUACAGAGAUACUCAUUUAUUCACGGUCACUGCUGCAUCGCACACAAACCACAAGGAAACGAAAGCAGCCAAGAUGCCCAUACACAGUGAAAACGUAGUCCAUAGCCACAAUGGAAUUUUAUUCAGCUCUAAAGAUAAGUGCCUCCCACCCCUCAUCAAAGAGACUUCUCUUUACACCAAAUGCAGACCAUUACAGAGUACCACAGCUGGACACAAGAGGGAGACAAUGGUUCCUGGGAAUCUGAGUGGACAGAGCAGGAUCUCAGCUGCUGCAUCUCUGGCUCAGGGAACACAGAGGAAGAGGUGGUGGGAAGACUACCAGGAAGUCUGCCAUGAGACCGUCUGUCACAGAAAUGACUGCACAAACAGGACCAGAGCAAUGGGCAGUAUCAGGUGAAAUGGUGACGUGGAAGCCAGUAAUCUCACGGGGUUCAUUCCCUAGGCAAAGACCUACAGACAAUAAUUGCUAAGAGAGGGAGAAUUAGCUUCUCCCUGAGAUGAUCCCCCUAAGAUAGCCACCCUGAAGUCACAUCCUCACAAACAACACACACAGACGCAGCAGAUUGUACCUAUAAAUCUGCAUGUCUCAAUAAUAACCGAAGAAAAAGAGGCUAUCCAUUUGAAAGCAAGGGAGGGGACAGUGAACGGGUUGGAGGCAGGGGACUUGGGAGGGGAUGGAGGGAGGUAAGGAAAAGCAGGGAGUGAUGCAAUUACCCUUUGAUUAAAGUGGAUUAAACUUAAUAUAGUAAAGUAAUUCUACCCUUUGCCCGUCACGGUACACUGUGCACCUUUUCCUGAGACUCACCAAACCCAUUCGUUUCUGCAUAAACUUCUUAUAUUUCCUCUUUGCAAAAACAAUCAAUUAAGUGCAUUUUAUUAUUUUUUUCUCAUUUUUAUUUUGUUGUGCAAAAGAAUAUUUUCAUUCUGAAUUCCCUUUUAUUUGUGUUUCUAACAACCAGUUUUGGCUGGAUAGAAAUAAUGUUUGUUGUUUUUUUUGAUGAGAGAACAAAGUUAAAAAUUUCAAAGG
RNAcentral lists this long non-coding RNA (1778 nucleotides) under Mus pahari (shrew mouse). Its description in RNAcentral is "lncRNA (MGP_PahariEiJ_G0005542.1)". Lineage: Eukaryota; Metazoa; Chordata; Mammalia; Rodentia; Muridae. The record is from RNAcentral.